This 253-nucleotide ribosomal RNA is filed under the name uncultured bacterium. RNAcentral's name for it is "partial 16S ribosomal RNA". It matches the Rfam family "Bacterial small subunit ribosomal RNA", at positions 524 to 776 of the family's 1533-position model. The record is from RNAcentral.
UACGUAGGGGGCAAGCGUUGUCCGGAAUCAUUGGGCGUAAAGAGCGUGUAGGCGGCCAGAUAAGUCCGCUGUGAAAUCUCGAGGCUCAACUUCGAGCUGUCGGUGGAAACUGUCUGGCUAGAGUCCGGGAGAGGAGAAUGGAAUUCCUGGUGUAGCGGUGAAAUGCGCAGAUAUCAGGAAGAACACCCGUGGCGAAAGCGGCUCUCUGGAACGGUACUGACGCUGAGACGCGAAAGCGUGGGGAGCGAACAGG